CCCACACUCUCUUUUGGUUUUUGAGCAAUAUAGCUUCCCAUAGUAACUAGUAUCUUUCACUUCUUCAAUCCACAAACCUCUCUCUCUUCACGGGUAAUCAUCUCUUGCUUCUGAUUGCAAAUUAUUAUAUGCUUAUGAAGCCAAACACAGUUUUUUAGGUAAAGGUGCUAUAAUGGAUGCGAGAUUCGAAGAUGGAGAUCAUUCAAAUGUGUAGGAAGACUUAAACAUGUCUGGAGAUACAACUGCUUAAUGGUAAAAAAUUUGGCAUAUAGGCUUAUAUAGUUGCAUUUGAAUGUGCGAAUGAGAUAAAACUUAGCAAUUGUUGAACUUUUAUUAAUUAUUAAAUUGAGAUAUCACAAUAUUACAAAGGUGUUAUAUCAACAAGCACAUAUAUGGAAAUAAGGAGUUUGUCAUUGUGAUUGUUGUCGGUUCAUUCCUUCACGGAAGCUAGCUAGCAUUAGCAUGGAUUGUUGAACAUGGUUGACAAAUAGCACGCGUCGCCAUUAACGGAAGCAAAGUUGAUCAUAUCGGUGAAAAAAAAAUUCCGGUUAUUAACCUUGUUGAUGAUUUAAACCAAAAACCGAAGUGUAAUAAACCUUGUGAUUAUUGUAAGUUUGUUACAUUGAAAUUUCUCAUGAAAGAUAUAGAAACUUAUUAUAUUGUUCCAACACAAUUUGGGAACUCAAUUAAGAGUAUAUUUUGCAUAGUAACAAAGAAUAUGUGAACCAAAAAUAUUCUUAAGUCCUGAAAGAUAAUAUUGAUAUUGUUCAUGAGUGGGUAUGUGUGUAUCAAUUAAGUAAGAAAAAAUAUAUAUAAGAGAUUGAAUGUGUUAGGAAUCCGUCUGCAACUAACUCUUGGCCGUUCAAUCCGUCUGCAACUAACUCUAAAGUUUUCAAUGUAAUUCAGAUUUUUCCCUCGUAUACUACAAUGAGCUCAUUUUCACCCUAUCCUUUGUGAUUUAUUUUUGCAUAUUGUAUUGAAUCCUUAGUGCAAAUACUUUAAAACUGAGCUAAAUAUAUUUUUAAAAAAUUUUCUCAUACAUGUAAUAAAUUAAUGUGUUAGAACUAUUAUU
Long non-coding RNA from Vicia villosa (hairy vetch), 1072 nucleotides. RefSeq lists it as uncharacterized. Lineage: Eukaryota; Viridiplantae; Streptophyta; Magnoliopsida; Fabales; Fabaceae. The transcript is spliced from 4 exons. The record is from RefSeq and is a predicted model, not a curated record.